This 484-nucleotide ribosomal RNA is filed under the name uncultured bacterium. RNAcentral's name for it is "partial 16S ribosomal RNA". It matches the Rfam family "Bacterial small subunit ribosomal RNA", at positions 30 to 507 of the family's 1533-position model. The record is from RNAcentral.
AUUGAACGCUGGCGGCAGGCCUAACACAUGCAAGUCGAGCGGAUGAAGGGAGCUUGCUCCUGGCUUCAGCGGCGGACGGGUGAGUAAUGCCUAGGAAUCUGCCUGGUCGUGGGGGCUAACGUCCGGUCACGGGCGCUGAUACCGCAUCCGUCCUGAGGGAGAACCUGGGGGAUCUUCGGACCUCAAGCUAUUAGCUGAGACUAGGUCGGAUUAGCUAGUUGGUGGGGUAAAGGCCUACCAAGGCGACGAUCCGUAACUGGUCUGAGAGGAUGAUCAGACACACUGGAACUGAGACACGGUCCAGACUCCUACGGGAGGCAGCAGUGGGGAAUAUUGGACAAUGGGCGAAAGCCUGAUCCAGCCAUGCCGCGUGUGUGAAGAAGGUCUUCGGAUUGUAAAGCACUGUAAGUUGGGAGGAAGGGCAGUAAGUGAAUACCUUGCUGUUUUGACGUUACCAACAGAAUAAGCACCGGCUAACUUCGUG